AAGUCGUAACAAGGUUUCCGUAGGUGAACCUGCGGAAGGAUCAUUAAAAAAUGUGGUACCAAUUAUUGGUACUAAUUAAUCAUCCUACCCUUUGUGAAUUUGUUUGUAUGAAUUUUUUUAAAUGGGUCUUUCCCUAAGUUGGAUUGUUAGUAAAAUACAAAAAGACUUAGGGGAAUGACUUUUUUAAAAGACUUUUUUUUAAUUAAAACUUUUUGUAUUCAUUUGUCUAAAAUUUAUUUUUAUAAUAUAAAAACAACUUUUGACAAUGGAUCUCUUGGUUCUCGCAACGAUGAAGAACGCAGCAAAAUGCGAUAAGUAGUGUGAAUUGCAGAAUACGUGAAUCAUCGAAUCUUCGAACGCAUAUUGCACUUUAUUAGUUUACUAAAAAAGUAUGUCUGUUUGAGUAUCAGUAAAAUAUUCUCACAAACAUGUAUUGUUUGUGGUUAUGAGUGUUUUACAACGAUAAACAAGUUGUUUCACUUUAAAUUCUUUUUUGUAAUUUUACUACCAAUUCAUAAAUUAAAAUUGGAUAAAAUUUUCCUUUAACGAGGAAUAACCUAAACAAUUUUAAAUUUUUUGGAUUCGUACAUUCACAUGAAGGAAUCUAUACAUAAAUAACUUGAUCUCAAAUCAGAUAAGAGUACCCGCUGAACUUAAGCAUAUCAAUAAGCGGAGGAAAAGAAACUAACAAGGAUUCCCUUAGUAACGGCGAGUGAAGCGGGAAGAGCUCAAAUUUGAAAUCUUCAAGGUUUGACCUUGACGAAUUGUAGUUUAUAGAAGUGUUUUCUGUUGGAGUUUUGGUAAAAGUUCUUUGGAAUAGGACAUCAUAGAGGGUGAGAAUCCCGUAUUUGACCAUGACUUUCCAGCUGUGUGAUACACUUUCAAAGAGUCGGAUUGUUUGGGAAUGCAGUCCAAAAUGGGUGGUAAAUUUCAUCUAAAGCUAAAUAUUGGCGAGAGACCGAUAGCGAACAAGUACCGUGAGGGAAAGAUGAAAAGAACUUUGAAAAGAGAGUUAAACAGUACGUGAAAUUGUCAAAAGGGAAGCGUUUGACACCAGUGUUGUUUUCUCGAAAAUCAAUUUAAUGAGUUCUUGUUUUUAAGUUAUUGUGACUUUAUCAGCGCAUUUCUUAUUUUACUUGGCUCAUUGAAUGCACUUUUCGUUUAACAAGUCAACAUCAAUUUCUUUGGUGGUAAAAAGUUUAAAGGAAGGUGGCUUGGACUUCGGUUCAAGUGUUUAUAGCCUUUUUUCUAUGCCAUCGGAGAGAUUGAGGUCUGCAGCGUAGAUCCUUCGGGGUUAGAUACUUUGUGCUAAGUUAUAGUUUUUUAUAGACAACUUGUUGACUAUAAUUAACCCUGUAAUUUACUCGCUUAGGCUAUUUUACCUACGCUUAGGAUGUUG
RNAcentral lists this unclassified non-coding RNA (1399 nucleotides) under uncultured Neocallimastigales. RNAcentral's name for it is "partial contains small subunit ribosomal RNA, internal transcribed spacer 1, 5.8S ribosomal RNA, internal transcribed spacer 2, and large subunit ribosomal RNA". The stretch from base 621 to 1399 matches the Rfam family "Eukaryotic large subunit ribosomal RNA", at positions 1 to 628 of the family's 3401-position model. Lineage: Eukaryota; Fungi; Neocallimastigomycota; Neocallimastigomycetes; Neocallimastigales. The record is from RNAcentral.